GUGAGGAAUAUUGCGCAAUGGAGGCAACUCUGACGCAGCCAUGCCGCGUGCAGGAAGAAGGCGCUACGCGUUGUAAACUGCUUUUAACCGGGAAGAAACCCCAGGACGUGUCCUGGGUUGACGGUACCGGAGGAAUAAGCACCGGCUAACUUCGUGCCAGCAGCCGUGGUAAUACGAAGGGUGCAAGCGUUAUCCGGAUUCAUUGGGUUUAAAGGGUGCGUAGGCGGAGCGUUAAGUCAGUGGUGAAAUCCUGCAGCUUAACUGUAGACUUGCCAUUGAUACUGGCGAUCUUGAGUGCGCUUGAAGUGGGCGGAAUGUGCCGUGUAGCGGUGAAAUGCUUAGAUAUGGCACAGAACACCAAUUGCGAAGGCAGCUCACUAAGGCGAUACUGACGCUGAGGCACGAAAGCGUGGGGAUCGAACAGGAUUAGAUACCCGUGUAGUCC
RNAcentral lists this ribosomal RNA (445 nucleotides) under uncultured bacterium. Its description in RNAcentral is "partial 16S ribosomal RNA". It matches the Rfam family "Bacterial small subunit ribosomal RNA", at positions 354 to 796 of the family's 1533-position model. The record is from RNAcentral.